UGGGGAAUAUUGCACAAUGGGGGAAACCCUGAUGCAGCAACGCCGCGUGAGUGAUGAAGGCCUUCGGGUUGUAAAGCUCUGUCUUCAGGGACGAUAAUGACGGUACCUGAGGAGGAAGCCACGGCUAACUACGUGCCAGCAGCCGCGGUAAUACGUAGGUGGCAAGCGUUGUCCGGAUUUACUGGGCGUAAAGGGAGCGUAGGCGGAUACUUAAGUGGGAUGUGAAAUACCCGGGCUCAACUCGGGUGCUGCAUUCCAAACUGGGUGUCUAGAGUGCAGGAGAGGAAAGUGGAAUUCCUAGUGUAGCGGUGAAAUGCGUAGAGAUUAGGAAGAACACCAGUGGCGAAGGCGACUUUCUGGACUGUAACUGACGCUGAGGCUCGAAAGCGUGGGGAGCAAACA
This 402-nucleotide ribosomal RNA is filed under the name uncultured bacterium. RNAcentral's name for it is "bacterial SSU rRNA". It matches the Rfam family "Bacterial small subunit ribosomal RNA", at positions 355 to 774 of the family's 1533-position model. The record is from RNAcentral.